AUUGAACGCUGGAGGCAGGCCUAACACAUGCAAGUCGAGCGGAUGAAGGGAGCUUGCUCCUGGAUUCAGCGGCGGACGGGUGAGUAAUGCCUAGGAAUCUGCCUGGUAGUGGGGGAUAACGUCCGGAAACGGGCGCUAAUACCGCAUACGUCCUGAGGGAGAAAGUGGGGGAUCUUCGGACCUCACGCUAUCAGAUGAGCCUAGGUCGGAUUAGCUAGUUGGUGGGGUAAAGGCCUACCAAGGCGACGAUCCGUAACUGGUCUGAGAGGAUGAUCAGUCACACUGGAACUGAGACACGGUCCAGACUCCUACGGGAGGCAGCAGUGGGGAAUAUUGGACAAUGGGCGAAAGCCUGAUCCAGCCAUGCCGCGUGUGUGAAGAAGGUCUUCGGAUUGUAAAGCACUUUAAGUUGGGAGGAAGGGCAGUAAGUUAAUACCUUGCUGUUUUGACGUUACCAACAGAAUAAGCACCGGCUAACUUCGUG
This 484-nucleotide ribosomal RNA is filed under the name uncultured bacterium. RNAcentral describes it as "partial 16S ribosomal RNA". It matches the Rfam family "Bacterial small subunit ribosomal RNA", at positions 30 to 507 of the family's 1533-position model. The record is from RNAcentral.